GAUUUUAUAUAAAUAUAAAAUAUUUUAAAGUAGGAUAAAGAAAAUAAAGAUGACAGAACAAAAUUCUGGUUUAGGACCCAUUCCAUCAUUGGUCUCUGGUCUCUUCAGCAAAGAUGAGGUUAGGCUCAGUGUCAAAGGAUUUCCAUUCAACCCUCAAUAACACUGGAGCCCUUGAUAUAUCCUUUAAUCUUGCUUAUGAGAUUAAACUCAAUUUUCGUAAUCUCAUUCUCCACUUUUAAUAAUGGUUCUGACUCUAUUUUCUGCAACUUGUCUAGCAAUGAGGCCUUUACUCAAAGCUCUGCUUUUGAUCUUGCCCUUCAAUCUUGUUUUCAUCUACUUUAUCAGGGUUAUUUGGCUUGCAAGAAACAAUCUUUAGCAAGGAUUUCAAUUAUGCCAUCCCUCAAAGAGCUAUCUUCUUGGCCGUGGAGUUCUUCGCCCUUACAUGCAAAUUAGGACUUCCCCAACUUACUUUUAUCCCUGUUAAAAGACAUUCCCCCAACAAGGAUGGUUCAAGCUGGUGUUGGGGCUAUCAUUCGCGAUCAUAACGGUAUUUGGGUGAUUGUUUCUCAUAGACCUAUUGGCCAUACUACCAACACGAUUGCUAACCUUCCCUCUGGCUAAAAAAUUCCAAAUAUCCCACCUGGUGAUCCAGCUAACCUUCUCUUAAUCUCCCUUUCUCAUAAAUUUAUGCUUAAUCCUUUGGUCUCUCAUUUGGAGACUGCGUUGAAUUAUCUCCACCAUAAAUAGGUGCUUCAUACCUUUCGUGAAUGAAAUAGGUGUGUCGACGCCCUUGCAUAAAAAGGCAACAGCGCUCCUAUUGGUUCUGGACACGCCACCAACACGGUUGCUAAACUCUGGGCAAUCAUUUUUAUGGCUUCAGAGAUUCUUGAUGGAAUCUUGUUCAAAUUAACUUACAACUCAACACCUCUUAGGUCAGUUCCGCCCGUAAACACACCCAAAUCUCCAACUCCUUUCCUAAACCCAUUGACCUAAAGCCUAACCUUACUGACCCUAAAAUUUAACCCAUUUUCCUAAGCUCUGAAGUUUAAAUUCCAAAUAGUUUCCUCCAUCCUAUCGAUAAUGCCCAAGCGUGUAUUAAAAAGUUGUUCAAAUAACCAUCUAAUGUGGCAUGAUGAUAGUUCAAUUCGUUCCUUAAUUAUG
RNAcentral lists this long non-coding RNA (1161 nucleotides) under Gossypium barbadense (sea-island cotton). Its description in RNAcentral is "long non-coding RNA (GBAR_LNC019837)". Lineage: Eukaryota; Viridiplantae; Streptophyta; Magnoliopsida; Malvales; Malvaceae. The record is from RNAcentral.